Molecule: ribosomal RNA, 849 nt
Filed under: uncultured archaeon
Lineage: Archaea
Description: bacterial SSU rRNA
Rfam family: Archaeal small subunit ribosomal RNA
Source: RNAcentral
CCUGACUGCUAUCGGAUUGAUACUAAGCCAUGCGAGUCAUUGUAGCAAUACAAGGCAUACGGCUCAGUAACGCGUAGUCAACCUACCCUAUGGACGGGAAUAACCUCGGGAAACUGAGAAUAAUGCCCGAUAGAACAUUAUGCCUGGAAUGGUUUAUGUUCCAAAUGAUUUAUCGCCGUAGGAUGGGACUGCGGCCUAUCAGUUUGUUGGUGAGGUAAUGGCCCACCAAGACUAUUACAGGUACGGGCUCCGAGAGGAGUAGCCCGGAGAUGGGUACUGAGACACGGACCCAGGCCCUAUGGGGCGCAGCAGGCGAGAAAACUUUGCAAUGUGCGAAAGCACGACAAGGUUAAUCCGAGUGGUUUGUGCUAAACGAACCUUUUGUCAGUCCUAGAAACACUAACGAAUAAGGGGUGGGCAAGUUCUGGUGUCAGCCGCCGCGGUAAAACCAGCACCUCAAGUGGUCAGGAUGAUUAUUGGGCCUAAAGCAUCCGUAGCCGGAUCUGUAAGUUUUCGGUUAAAUCUGUACGCUCAACGUACAGGCUGCCGGGAAUACUGCAGAUCUAGGGAGUGGGAGAGGUAGACGGUACUCGGUAGGAAGGGGUAAAAUCCUUUGAUCUAUUGAUGACCACCUGUGGCGAAGGCGGUCUACCAGAACACGUCCGACGGUGAGGGAUGAAAGCUGGGGGAGCAAACCGGAUUAGAUACCCGGGUAGUCCCAGCUGUAAACUAUGCAAACUCAGUGAUGCAUUGGCUUGUGGCCAAUGCAGUGCUGCAGGGAAGUCGUUAAGUUUGCCGCCUGGGAAGUACGUACGCAAGUAUGAAACUUUAAGGAAUUGGCGGGGAGCA